RNAcentral lists this ribosomal RNA (1428 nucleotides) under metagenome. RNAcentral describes it as "bacterial SSU rRNA". It matches the Rfam family "Bacterial small subunit ribosomal RNA". The record is from RNAcentral.
AGGGUUUGAUCCUGGCCCAGGAUUAACGCUUGCGGCAUGCCUAAUGCAUGCAAGUAGAACGAGACUGUCGCAAGACAAUUUAGUUGCGAACGGCUGAGUAAUGGAUAGGAAUCUCCCCAAUGGUGUGGAAUACCUCAUCGAAAGAUGAGCUAAUACCGCAUGACCUCGAAAGAGAAAAGCGCUUUACUGCGCGCCUAUGGAUGAGCCUAUCUCCCAUCAGCUUGUUGGUAGGGUAAAAGCCUACCAAGGCUAUGACGGGUAGGGGGCGUGAGAGCGCGUUCCCCCAGAAUGGGACUGAGACACGGCCCAUACACCUACGGGUGGCAGCAACAGGGAAUCGUACACAAUGGACGAAAGUCUGAUGACGCAAUGCCGCGUGGAGGAUGAAGGCCUUCGGGUUGUAAACUCCUUUUACAGUAAUAGAGAUGUUAUUGAGAAUAAGCACCUGCUAACUCUGUGCCAGCAGCCGCGGUAAUACAGAGGGUGCAAGCGUUAUCCGGAUUUAUUGGGCGUAAAGCGUUUCGUAGGUUUCUAGGUAAGUUAUUCUUCAAAGACCACGGCUCAACCGGGGGAAGGGGAGUAAUACUAUCUGGAUUGAAAUAUGGUGGGGCUUCUGGAACUGAUGGUGUAGUAGUGAAAUACGUUGAUAUCAUCAGGAACUCCGAGGGCGUAGGCAGGAAGCUAACCAUUUUUUGACACUGAUGAACGACAGCUAGGGGAGCGAAAGGGAUUAGAGACCCCUGUAGUCCUAGCCGUAAACUUUGCUCGCUAGGGGUCAGUAUUUAUACUUGCCCCUUAAGCUAACGCGUUAAGCGAGCCGCCUGGGGAGUACGGCCGCAAGGCUAAAACUCAAAGGAAUUGACGGGGACCCGCACAACCAGUGGAGCAUGUGGUUUAAUUCGAGACGAAACGAAAGACCUCACCCAGCCUUGACAUACAACCGUUUUAAGCAUUCAGAAAUGAGCGCCUAUCUUAAGAAAUUUUGAUGGUUGAACAGGUGCUGCAUGGCCGUCGUCAGCUCGUGCCGUAGGGUGUUCCCUUCAGUGGGGUAACGAGCGCAACCCUUGCCGCAAGUUGAAUAUUCUUGCGGGACUUCUUAAAUUUAUUUUAGGAGGAAGUGAGGACGACGUCAGGUCAGCAUGGCCCUUAUAGCUGGGGCGACACACAUACUACAAUGGAGCCGACAAAGGGUUGCCAAGCCGCAAGGCGGAGCUAAUCCCAUAAACGGCUUCUCAGUUGGGAUUGGGGGCUGCAACUCGCCCCCAUGAACUUGGAAUUGGUAGUAAUCGCGGAUCAGCAUGCCGCGGUGAAUACGUUCUCGGGUCUUGUACACACCGCCCGUCAAGUGAGUAAAGUUGUAUAUACCUUAAAUCCCAUCGUAUGGGAUCAAGGUAGAGACAGCGAUAAGCACUAAGUCGUAACAAGGUA